GCCCCUGACUUCGGGAUAACUCCGGGAAACCGGGGCUAAUACCGGAUAUGAGCCGUCCUCGCAUGGGGGUGGUUGGAAAGUUUUUCGGUCAGGGAUGGGCUCGCGGCCUAUCAGCUUGUUGGUGGGGUGAUGGCCUACCAAGGCGACGACGGGUAGCCGGCCUGAGAGGGCGACCGGCCACACUGGGACUGAGACACGGCCCAGACUCCUACGGGAGGCAGCAGUGGGGAAUAUUGCACAAUGGGCGAAAGCCUGAUGCAGCGACGCCGCGUGAGGGAUGACGGCCUUCGGGUUGUAAACCUCUUUCAGCAGGGAAGAAGCGCAAGUGACGGUACCUGCAGAAGAAGCGCCGGCUAACUACGUGCCAGCAGCCGCGGUAAUACGUAGGGCGCAAGCGUUGUCCGGAAUUAUUGGGCGUAAAGAGCUCGUAGGCGGUUUGUCGCGUCUGGUGUGAAAACUCGAGGCUCAACCUCGAGCUUGCAUCGGGUACGGGCAGACUAGAGUGCGGUAGGGGAGACUGGAAUUCCUGGUGUAGCGGUGGAAUGCGCAGAUAUCAGGAGGAACACCGAUGGCGAAGGCAGGUCUCUGGGCCGCAACUGACGCUGAGGAGCGAAAGCAUGGGGAGCGAACAGGAUUAGAUACCCUGGUAGUCCAUGCCGUAAACGUUGGGCACUAGGUGUGGGGCUCAUUCCACGAGUUCCGUGCCGCAGCAAACGCAUUAAGUGCCCCGCCUGGGGAGUACGGCCGCAAGGCUAAAACUCAAAGGAAUUGACGGGGGCCCGCACAAGCGGCGGAGCAUGCGGAUUAAUUCGAUGCAACGCGAAGAACCUUACCAAGGCUUGACAUGCACGGGAAGCCACCAGAGAUGGUGGUCUCUUUGGACACUCGUGCACAGGUGGUGCAUGGUUGUCGUCAGCUCGUGUCGUGAGAUGUUGGGUUAAGUCCCGCAACGAGCGCAACCCUCGUCCCAUGUUGCCAGCGGGUUAUGCCGGGGACUCAUGGGAGACUGCCGGGGUCAACUCGGAGGAAGGUGGGGAUGACGUCAAAUCAUCAUGCCCCUUAUGUCUKGGGCUUCACGCAUGCUACAAUGGCCGGUACAAAGGGCUGCGAUACCGUAAGGUGGAGCGAAUCCCAAAAAGCCGGUCUCAGUUCGGAUUGGGGUCUGCAACUCGACCCCAUGAAGUCGGAGUCGCUAGUAAUCGCAGAUCAGCAACGCUGCGGUGAAUACGUUCCCGGGCCUUGUACAC
Molecule: ribosomal RNA, 1247 nt
Filed under: Cellulosimicrobium sp.
Lineage: Bacteria; Bacillati; Actinomycetota; Actinomycetes; Micrococcales; Promicromonosporaceae
Description: bacterial SSU rRNA
Source: RNAcentral